RNAcentral lists this long non-coding RNA (784 nucleotides) under Homo sapiens (human). RNAcentral describes it as "HSALNT0050045". The record is from RNAcentral. Lineage: Eukaryota; Metazoa; Chordata; Mammalia; Primates; Hominidae.
CACAGUCAGAGAUCAGAGGCCACACCAUCCUAGCAGUGGAGCAGGACCAGCUGGGACAGGGUCCUUCUGUGACACCUGCUGCAUCACCAGCCUAUGUGAAUGGAUUCAGCUGCCAGAACUCACAGAGUAUCAGUAUUAGCACCGAAACCUCACAGGAAAAAUGCUCCACGUUUAGCUCCAUGAACUUCAGACUUAAACAGCAUCACUGGCUCCUGACCAGGAUUCCAGCUCCACAAACCUCAAACUAGAACACCAGCCUGGCUUCUCCACAGGUCUCCAGCUCCAAAACCUAAGACAUCAGUGGCAGUACCUACUCCUCCCAGGGGGCUCCAGCUCUGAGACCCUCAGACUUGAACCGCAGCACCAGCUGUUCCCCAGAUCUCCAGCUCCAUGACCCUCAGACUUAAACAACAGCAGCACCAGCUCAUCCGUGGGUCUAUAUCUCCACGACCCUCAAGCUAGGAAAACAUCAGCUCCUCCCCGGGUCUCCAACCGCACGACCCUCCAACUAGAAACACACCAGCUCCUCCCUCAGUCUCCAGCUCCACAAGCCUCCCACUAGAACGAAGUUUUUGAAAUCAUCGUUUCUCAACACCCGAAUUGUGACUCCCUGGACUCUGAGACUCAGGGGAGGUGCCGGCACGGCAGAAGCAGGAAAAAGCUGAGCGGUCAGUGAACAGGCGCAAGUGUACAGUGAGAUGGAAGGAAUAAUACGUUCCAGCCUUCAGGAGCAGGUGAACGGAUGCAAACGUAUGGUGAGAUGGAAGGAAUAUGUUCCAACCUU